Molecule: ribosomal RNA, 301 nt
Filed under: uncultured bacterium
Lineage: Bacteria
Description: partial 16S ribosomal RNA
Rfam family: Bacterial small subunit ribosomal RNA
Source: RNAcentral
CAGCAGCCGCGGGAAUACGUAGGGCGCAAGCGUUGUCCGGAAUUAUUGGGCGUAAAGAGCUCGUAGGCGGUCUGUCGCGUCUGGUGUGAAAUCCCGAGGCUCAACCUCGGGCUUGCAUCGGGUACGGGCAGACUAGAGUGCGGUAGGGGAGACUGGAAUUCCUGGUGUAGCGGUGGAAUGCGCAGAUAUCAGGAGGAACACCGAUGGCGAAGGCAGGUCUCUGGGCCGCAACUGACGCUGAGGCGCGAAAGCAUGGGGAGCGAACAGGAUUAGAUACCCCAGUAGUCCCUGUCUCUUAUAC